UAUGGAAAGACAAUCCGAACUGACUAACCUCGUUUUUUUAAUGGUUUUUCAGUCGAUAGAGGAUGGUUGGAAACGGCCAUGCUUACCAGUGUGUAAAGGAUGGUGGCUUCAUAAAAU
Molecule: non-coding RNA, 117 nt
Filed under: Acetobacterium bakii
Lineage: Bacteria; Bacillati; Bacillota; Clostridia; Eubacteriales; Eubacteriaceae
Description: MoCo sequence
Rfam family: Molybdenum/Tungsten riboswitch aptamer (Moco RNA motif)
Source: Rfam by way of RNAcentral